This 281-nucleotide unclassified non-coding RNA is filed under the name Hevea brasiliensis (rubber tree). Lineage: Eukaryota; Viridiplantae; Streptophyta; Magnoliopsida; Malpighiales; Euphorbiaceae. The record is from RNAcentral.
CCUUCGAUAUAAUACAUUUGAUUAUGAUCGUAUUUUGCUAAUACCAUCACUAAAUUCUCCACAAAAAAUACUGUAUCAUCAUCUCCCAUCACGAACCACCUCACGUUAUCCAAUCCUAGCUCAAAACUUUCCUUAAUAAUACGGGCAAUGCGCAGAGAAGAGCGAGAACCGUACCGACAGCUGUACUUGAACCUCGAAGUGUCCUCUGAGACUUUAUAAGGAGGGGAAGUAUUCGGCCAUGGCUCCGUCUCUGGAGGCGUCUCGUCGAGCCAAACAUACCC